This 1028-nucleotide ribosomal RNA is filed under the name Discostroma tostum. Its description in RNAcentral is "SSU rRNA". It matches the Rfam family "Eukaryotic small subunit ribosomal RNA", at positions 73 to 1111 of the family's 1831-position model. The record is from RNAcentral. Lineage: Eukaryota; Fungi; Ascomycota; Sordariomycetes; Amphisphaeriales; Amphisphaeriaceae.
AUUAUACAGCGAAACUGCGAAUGGCUCAUUAAAUCAGUUAUCGUUUAUUUGAUAGUACCUUACUACUUGGAUAACCGUGGUAAUUCUAGAGCUAAUACAUGCUAAAAACCCCGACUCACGAAGGGGUGUAUUUAUUAGAUUAAAAACCAAUGCCCUUCGGGGCUCUUUGGUGAUUCAUAAUAACUUUUCGAAUCGCAUGGCCUUGUGCCGGCGAUGGUUCAUUCAAAUUUCUGCCCUAUCAACUUUCGAUGGCAGGGUCUUGGCCUGCCAUGGUUACAACGGGUAACGGAGGGUUAGGGCUCGACCCCGGAGAAGGAGCCUGAGAAACGGCUACUACAUCCAAGGAAGGCAGCAGGCGCGCAAAUUACCCAAUCCCGAUUCGGGGAGGUAGUGACAAUAAAUACUGAUACAGGGCUCUUUUGGGUCUUGUAAUUGGAAUGAGUACAAUUUAAAUCCCUUAACGAGGAACAAUUGGAGGGCAAGUCUGGUGCCAGCAGCCGCGGUAAUUCCAGCUCCAAUAGCGUAUAUUAAAGUUGUUGCAGUUAAAAAGCUCGUAGUUGAACCUUGGGCCUGGCUGGCCGGUCCGCCUCACCGCGUGCACUGGUUCGGCCGGGCCUUUCCCUCUGGGGAACCCUAUGGUCUUUAUUGAUCGUAGCGGGGAACCAGGACUUUUACUGUGAAAAAAUUAGAGUGUUCAAAGCAGGCCUAUGCUCGAAUACAUUAGCAUGGAAUAAUAAAAUAGGACGUGUGGUUCUAUUUUGUUGGUUUCUAGGACCGCCGUAAUGAUUAAUAGGGACAGUCGGGGGCAUCAGUAUUCAAUUGUCAGAGGUGAAAUUCUUGGAUUUAUUGAAGACUAACUACUGCGAAAGCAUUUGCCAAGGAUGUUUUCAUUAAUCAGGAACGAAAGUUAGGGGAUCGAAGACGAUCAGAUACCGUCGUAGUCUUAACCAUAAACUAUGCCGACUAGGGAUCGGACGGUGUUAUUUUUUGACCCGUUCGGCACCUUACGAGAAAUCAAAGUCUUUGGG